This 771-nucleotide ribosomal RNA is filed under the name uncultured Neocallimastigales. RNAcentral describes it as "partial large subunit ribosomal RNA". It matches the Rfam family "Eukaryotic large subunit ribosomal RNA", at positions 26 to 645 of the family's 3401-position model. Lineage: Eukaryota; Fungi; Neocallimastigomycota; Neocallimastigomycetes; Neocallimastigales. The record is from RNAcentral.
CGCAUCUGUGCAUGCAGCAUAUCAAUAAGCGGAGGAAAAGAAACUAACAAGGAUUCCCUCAGUAACGGCGAGUGAAGCGGGAAGAGCUCAAAUUUGAAAUCUUGAAAGGUCACCUUUCACGAAUUGUAGUUUAAAGAAGUGUUUUCUGUUACGAUCGUAAUAUAAGUUCUUUGGAAUAGGACAUCACAGAGGGUGAGAAUCCCGUCUAUGAUUGCGAUUUGUAGCUUUGUGAUACACUUUCAAAGAGUCGGGUUGUUUGGGAAUGCAGCCCAAAACGGGAGGUAAAUUUCUUCUAAGGCUAAAUAUUGGCGAGAGACCGAUAGCGAACAAGUACCGUGAGGGAAAGAUGAAAAGAACUUUGAAAAGAGAGUUAAAUAGUACGUGAAAUUGUCAAAAGGGAAGCGUUUAACACCAGUGUUGUUUUCUGAAAAUCAACCUCUGUUAGCUUUAUGCAUGUUUGUUUAGACCUAAUCAGCUAUCUUGCAUGUUCUAUUGUUUGCAGUGGUGCACUUUUCAGUUUACAGGUCAACAUCAGUUUUUUUUACCGUAAAAAAGUUAAAGAAAGGUAGCUCAUGGCUCCGGUCGUGAGUGUUAUAGUCUUUUUCCUAUGCGGUAGGAGAGACUGAGGUCUGCAGUGUAGGCUAUUUGGCUAGAUACUCAGGUGCUAUGUGAUACCAUUUCAUAAACAACUUGUUGAUUAUGUUUUGUCUAUUGCAUACUCGCUUGUACUAUCAUACCUACGCUUAGGAUGUUGAAGUCAUCGUAUCGCGC